GCUUGCCUUGAUUCGGUCAGCGGCGGACGGGUGAGUAACACGUGGGCAACCUGCCCGCAAGACCGGGAUAACUCCGGGAAACCGGAGCUAAUACCGGAUAACACCGAAGACCGCAUGGUCUUCGGUUGAAAGGCGGCCUUUGGCUGUCACUUGCGGAUGGGCCCGCGGCGCAUUAGCUAGUUGGUGAGGUAACGGCUCACCAAGGCGACGAUGCGUAGCCGGCCUGAGAGGGUGACCGGCCACACUGGGACUGAGACACGGCCCAGACUCCUACGGGAGGCAGCAGUAGGGAAUCUUCCGCAAUGGGCGAAAGCCUGACGGAGCGACGCCGCGUGAGCGAAGAAGGCCUUCGGGUCGUAAAGCUCUGUUGUGAGGGACGAAGGAGCGCCGUUCGAAGAGGGCGGCGCGGUGACGGUACCUCACGAGAAAGCCCCGGCUAACUACGUGCCAGCAGCCGCGGUAAUACGUAGGGGGCGAGCGUUGUCCGGAAUUAUUGGGCGUAAAGCGCGCGCAGGCGGUCUCUUAAGUCUGAUGUG
RNAcentral lists this ribosomal RNA (536 nucleotides) under Geobacillus stearothermophilus. Its description in RNAcentral is "bacterial SSU rRNA". It matches the Rfam family "Bacterial small subunit ribosomal RNA", at positions 78 to 596 of the family's 1533-position model. RNAcentral also lists the same sequence under 1 other name. The record is from RNAcentral. Lineage: Bacteria; Bacillati; Bacillota; Bacilli; Caryophanales; Anoxybacillaceae.